CGGGGGAGAAAACCCCACGCCGCCGAAACGCGCGGAGUCCGGGGUGGUCCCGCCCCCGAGGGCGGCCUGCGGCCGCUCUCG
RNAcentral lists this ribosomal RNA (81 nucleotides) under Thermoproteus tenax. The record is from RNAcentral. Lineage: Archaea; Thermoproteati; Thermoproteota; Thermoprotei; Thermoproteales; Thermoproteaceae.